GAUGAACGCUGGCGGCGUGCCUAAUACAUGCAAGUCGAGCGAACGGACGAGAAGCUUGCUUCUCUGAUGUUAGCGGCGGACGGGUGAGUAACACGUGGAUAACCUACCUAUAAGACUGGGAUAACUUCGGGAAACCGGAGCUAAUACCGGAUGAUAUUUUGAACCGCAUGGUUCAAAAGUGAAAGACGGUCUUGCUGUCACUUAUAGAUGGAUCCGCGCUGCAUUAGCUAGUUGGUAAGGUAACGGCUUACCAAGGCAACGAUGCAUAGCCGACCUGAGAGGGUUAGCGGCCACACUGGAACUGAGACACGGUCCAGACUCCUACGGGAGGCAGCAGUAGGGAAUCUUCCGCAAUGGGCGAAAGCCUGACGGAGCAACGCCGCGUGAGUGAUGAAGGUCUUCGGAUCGUAAAACUCUGUUAUUAGGGAAGAACAUAUGUGUAAGUAACUGUGCACAUCUUGACGGUACCUAAUCAGAAAGCCACGGCUAACUACGUG
This 497-nucleotide ribosomal RNA is filed under the name uncultured bacterium. Its description in RNAcentral is "partial 16S ribosomal RNA". It matches the Rfam family "Bacterial small subunit ribosomal RNA", at positions 28 to 507 of the family's 1533-position model. The record is from RNAcentral.